This 253-nucleotide ribosomal RNA is filed under the name uncultured bacterium. RNAcentral's name for it is "partial 16S ribosomal RNA". It matches the Rfam family "Bacterial small subunit ribosomal RNA", at positions 524 to 776 of the family's 1533-position model. The record is from RNAcentral.
UACGGGGGGAGCAAGCGUUGUUCGGAUUUACUGGGCGUAAAGGGCGCGUAGGCGGUAGCACAAGUCAGUUGUGAAAUCUCCGGGCUUAACUCGGAAAGGUCAACUGAUACUGUGCGACUAGAGUGCAGAAGGGGCAACUGGAAUUCUCGGUGUAGCGGUGAAAUGCGUAGAUAUCGAGAGGAACACCUGCGGCGAAGGCGGGUUGCUGGGCUGACACUGACGCUGAGGAGCGAAAGCGUGGGGAGCGAACAGG